AGGAGGAAGAGCCUUCAAUGCCAAACUCUGUUCUGGCAGGGGCAGAAGAGGAUUGUGUCUGCUUAUGAGGAGAGCUCAUACCCUGACAGUUCUGUUCAUCCUCACGUGUGCGCUGGGCUACGUAACCCUGCUGGAAGAGACUCCCCAGGACACAGCCUACAACACAAAGAGAGGAAUCGUCGCCAGUAUUUUGGUUUUCUUGUGUUUCGGGGUGACACAAGCUAAAGAUGGACCAUUCUCAAGACCUCACCCAGCUUACUGGAGGUUUUGGCUGUGUGUCAGCGUGGUCUAUGAGCUCUUCCUCAUCUUCAUCCUCUUCCAGACUGUGCAGGAUGGGAGGCAGUUCAUGAAGUACAUUGACCCCCAUUUAGGGGUUCCUCUGCCAGAGAGAGACUACGGGGGCAACUGCCUGAUUUAUGACCCUGGCAAUGGAACUGAUCCCUUCCACAACAUCUGGGACAAGCUGGAUGGAUUUGUUCCUGCUCACUUUUUUGGGUGGUACCUGAAGACUCUGAUGAUUCGGGACUGGUGGAUGUGCAUGAUCAUCAGUGUCAUGUUUGAAUUCCUGGAGUACAGCCUGGAGCACCAGCUCCCAAACUUCAGUGAAUGCUGGUGGGAUCACUGGAUAAUGGAUGUGAUCUUAUGUAACGGGUUAGGAAUUUACUGCGGGAUGAAGACCUUGUCCUGGCUUUCCUUAAAAACCUACAAGUGGCAAGGACUCUGGAACAUUCCAACCUACAAAGGCAAGAUGAAGAGGAUCGUGUUCCAGUUCACCCCGUACAGCUGGGUGAAGUUUGAGUGGAAGCCAGCCUCCAGCCUGCGCAGGUGGCUCGCCGUCUGUGGCAUCAUCUUCGUGUUUUUAUUGGCAGAGCUGAACACGUUUUACCUGAAGUUUGUGCUGUGGAUGCCCCCUGAACACUACUUGGUGCUGCUACGCCUCGUGUUUUUUGUCAACGUGGGAGGAGUGGCCAUGAGGGAGAUCUACGACUUCAUGGACGACCCGAAGUUCCACAAGAAGCUGGGCCAGCAGGCCUGGCUGGUUGCUGCUAUUACUGCCACAGAGUUCCUGAUCGUCGUCAAGUACGAUCCCUACACGCUCACCCUCUCCCUGCCCUUCUACAUCACCCAGUGCUGGAUCCUGGGGAUUAUCCUGGUGCUCACCUGGACAGCCUGGCGCUUCUUUAUUCGGGACAUCACCCUGCGGUACAAGGAGAUCCGGCGGCAGAAGCAGGAGCACCGGCACGAGAAGGACAAAUGCCUGAGCAACGGGGAUGGACACUCAGCCCUGCUGGAGGAGCCCAACGGGAGCAAACUGCGGGAGAGGAAGCAGUGAGCGCGGACGCGGGGCUGACAGGAACUCGUGGUGCACAGUCCCGACCUUAUCCUACCUAACUCCUAAUUGUCAUUGUUAGCGUUCCGGCGCGUGGGGAUCCUCCCGGGGGAGGAUGGCGCUGACACAGCCCCCCUCUCUCCUGGUGUCACCUGGGCAGGGCUGCAGGAAGGCUGUGCGUGGAGGGAGGUCAGCGCUGCCCCCGCGCGGGGCGGGGCCUUCGCCGGGUGCUGCGCCUCUUCCUCGGAGCCAGGUGUGGAGAUGGGGCCCAGAGCACGGCACACAGGGAUCUGCUGCUCCACUCCCAGGGAACUGAGAGCCCCGUGGGGCCUUUGGGCAUUAGGAACACUUGUUUUGGAGCGUACAGAGACCAGGCACGGGAAAGGAAUUGUGUUCUUCCUGCUGGAACUACCUGGAGCUGUGGAGGAGGAUUGGAUGAAGCGUUCAGCGAGGUGACCGGGUACGCGGGGACAAGCUGCGUUCCUUGCACAGGAUGUGCCACACUACACUGCUGUUCCAGCCCCUCCACAGGGCAUCCCACUGACUUCCAGCGUCCCGGAGUGGCCUGCGGCACGUGGGUGCUGUGUCCCGGCUCCGGGGAGACAGACAACUUCUCCUUAGUCUUAUUUCUAAUUUCUCUUUUAGUCUCGGUCAUCUCUUAAAUGUAAGGGAAGGUGAAGUGAGAAAAGUCAAGCUGCCUUCGCUCUGCGGAGUAAAAUGUGUCACAAGCAGACACUGGGAGUGUCCCGUCAGUCUGGAGUUCUUUGCUUUAUCCUCGGCUGGGUCUGUGUCCUCACCGCAGGAGCUUUGCUCUGGGGUCUGACGGGGGCUCUGCCACCCUCUGUCACUGCCCUGUUCCUUCCAGGAUAGCUCCAGAGUGAGGGCUUUCUGGGAAAG
Molecule: RNA transcript, 2227 nt
Organism: Ficedula albicollis (Collared flycatcher)
Lineage: Eukaryota; Metazoa; Chordata; Aves; Passeriformes; Muscicapidae
Gene: PTDSS2
Gene name: phosphatidylserine synthase 2
Exons: 13
Source: RefSeq, a predicted model, not a curated record